This 467-nucleotide ribosomal RNA is filed under the name uncultured bacterium. RNAcentral describes it as "partial 16S ribosomal RNA". It matches the Rfam family "Bacterial small subunit ribosomal RNA", at positions 28 to 507 of the family's 1533-position model. The record is from RNAcentral.
GACGAACGCUGGCGGCGUGCUUAACACAUGCAAGUCGAACGGAAAGGCCUCUUUCUGGGGGUACUCGAGUGGCGAACGGGUGAGUAACACGUGAGUAACCUGCCCUUGUCUUUGGGAUAACUUCAUGAAACUGGGGCUAAUACCGGAUAGGAGCUCCUGCUGCAUGGUGGGGUUUGGAAAGUUUCGGCGGUUGGGGAUGGACUCGCGGGUUAUCCGCUUGUUGUUGGGGUAAUGGCUUACCAAGGCUUUGACGGGUAGGCGGCCUGAGAGAGUGACCGGCGACCGAGGGACCUAGGGGAGGCACAGACAGCGAAGGGAGGGAGAAGUGGGGAAGAUUGAAGAAUGGGUGGAACGCGGAUGAAGAAACGCCGCGUGCGGGAAGACGGUCUUAGGGGUGUAAAACGAUUUCGCUAAUGACGAAGCUUUGUGUGACGGUAGUUGGUAAAGAAGCACCGGCUAACUACGUG